UAGUCCUCAAACCCACCAAUUUGGUAACAUGACCACCAUUAAAGGGGUAUUUACAUCUAAGCAUUCACCGGACCAAAUAAAACUCAUGUUUUUGCUCAACGAGGCCAUCUCCUCUCCAUUUAGUGUUUCACAUUUGGGUUCCAUCAGAAGAGCAGAUGUUACCGUUUAAUUGAGAUCUUUUUCAGUGCAAUUGGUCGGCCUAGCCCCAGAUCAAUGCCUCGUAACUUUAAAUUCUGGCCCAGCGAGGCCUGCUUGAAAUCCAUUUGAAAUGCUUGGGUUCCCUCAAAAAUGCACAUCAAGGCCACAAAAUCAGAUCAGAAUUUCUUCUCUUGGAGGCUGCUUCUAGGGUCGAGGACAAUUUCUUGUUUCCUGGGACAUAGAGGGCUUCAAAGAAGUUGUCCUCCCUCCAGGCCAGGGCGAGGGGCACCACCGUUCCACACGGUUGAUAAAGAGUAGAUUUUCUCUUUUGUGGUCUCCAAAGAUUCAAAAAUAAAGAUUGGUUCAAGCAGACCCGGUAGUCAUAUAAAAAGCUCAAAAUGCUCACUGUCAUAGCUGAAUAUGUGUUAAUUUGGCCUCACUGCUAUUCCAGUUGUAAAGAUUUUUCUUUUAUGUCAAGAAAAGAAGUAGCCUUAUUUUUUAACCACUCCUGUGUUACCAUCUCUGUGUUUUGUUGUGUGUGUUGUUUAAGCAAUUGUGAGAUACUUUUGUGAGCCACCAUAUUUGAAA
Molecule: long non-coding RNA, 726 nt
Organism: Prunus avium (sweet cherry)
Lineage: Eukaryota; Viridiplantae; Streptophyta; Magnoliopsida; Rosales; Rosaceae
Source: RefSeq, a predicted model, not a curated record